CAGUAGCCGCGGUAAUACGUAGGUGGCAAGCGUUGUCCGGAAUUAUUGGGCGUAAAGGGCUCGCAGGCGGUUUCUUAAGUCUGAUGUGAAAGCCCCCGGCUCAACCGGGGAGGGUCAUUGGAAACUGGGAAACUUGAGUGCAGAAGAGGAGAGUGGAAUUCCACGUGUAGCUGUGAAAUGCGUAGAGAUGUGGAGGAACACCAGUGGCGAAGGCGACUCUCUGGUCUGUAACUGACGCUGAGGAGCGAAAGCGUGGGGAGCGAACAGGAUUAGAUACCCCAGUAGUCCCUGUCUCUUAUAC
This 301-nucleotide ribosomal RNA is filed under the name uncultured bacterium. RNAcentral's name for it is "partial 16S ribosomal RNA". It matches the Rfam family "Bacterial small subunit ribosomal RNA", at positions 509 to 807 of the family's 1533-position model. The record is from RNAcentral.